RNAcentral lists this ribosomal RNA (253 nucleotides) under uncultured bacterium. RNAcentral's name for it is "partial 16S ribosomal RNA". It matches the Rfam family "Bacterial small subunit ribosomal RNA", at positions 524 to 776 of the family's 1533-position model. The record is from RNAcentral. RNAcentral also lists the same sequence under 1 other name.
CACGUACUGUGCGAACGUUAUUCGGAAUCACUGGGCUUAAAGGGUGCGUAGGCGGCGAUUCAAGUCAGAUGUGAAAUGCCUGAGCUCAACUGAGGCAUUGCGUUUGAAACUGAAUUGCUAGAGUAUCCUAGGGGUGUGCGGAACUGCCAGUGGAACGGUGAAAUGUGUUGAUAUUGGCAGGAACACCGGAGGCGAAAGCGGCACACUGGGGGAUAACUGACGCUGAGGCACGAAAGCCAAGGGAGCGAACGGG